RNAcentral lists this ribosomal RNA (460 nucleotides) under uncultured bacterium. Its description in RNAcentral is "partial 16S ribosomal RNA". It matches the Rfam family "Bacterial small subunit ribosomal RNA", at positions 338 to 795 of the family's 1533-position model. The record is from RNAcentral.
CCUACGGGUGGCAGCAGUGAGGAAUAUUGGUCAAUGCGCGCGAGCCUGAACCAGCCAAGCAGCGUGACGGAUGAAUGCCCUCCGGGUUGUAAACUUCUUUUAUAAAGGAAUAAAGUGAGGCACGUGUGCCUUUUUGUAUGUACUUUAUGAAUAAGGAUCGGCUAACUCCGGUCCAUCAGCAGCGGUGAUACGGAGGAUCCGGGCGUUAUACGGGUUUGAUGGGUGUAAAGGGAGCGUAGCCGGCGAUGCAAGGAUGAAGUGAAAGGCGUGGGGCCAACCCCCGGACUGCUUUGGAAACUGGAUGGCUGGAGUGCAGGAGAGGUAAGUGGAAUUCCUAGUGUAGCGGUGAAAUGCUUAGAUAUCACGAAGAACCCCGAUUGCGAAGGCAGCUUACUAAACGGUGACUGACAUUGAGGCUCGAAAGUGUGGGUAUCAAACAGGAUUAGAUACCCCAGUAGUC